CCCUGCGUUAGCGGGAAGGGAUGUAGGUAAUUUCCAAAUGAGUUUCGUGGUUGAGAUUCUUGACAUUAAAUAGGCCCAAAUGAUUAUGUAUCAUGUACUCUAUCGUAUUAAUUUGUAUGUUUUGGUGCUUCCUUCAUUGUGUUUAGGUACCAACACUGCAUUUGGAAUCCAAUGUUUUACUUACUCGGUGUGCAUGGACUCAUAUCAGUAUGCUGUUGAUUACUGCAACAAGGAGUGCAAAAUACUUGGUUAUGACAGCCAGAAAGGCUACUGUAAAAAGGAGAAUCGCGGCAUGUGUUGUUGUGCCUAAAGUUACAUUCAUUUUAUAUUGUCAUUUUGUAGUAAAGCAUUGCAUGUAUUUACUAGCCAGAAUACUAAUUUUUCUAGAUUAUACGAGAAUUUCAAUACAGUAUACAGGUAGUUGCUUUCGAAGACCAACUUGAAUAGCCGAUCAAUUCUUCG
RNAcentral lists this long non-coding RNA (462 nucleotides) under Triticum aestivum (bread wheat). RNAcentral's name for it is "long non-coding RNA (TAES_LNC025310)". The record is from RNAcentral. Lineage: Eukaryota; Viridiplantae; Streptophyta; Magnoliopsida; Poales; Poaceae.